Molecule: long non-coding RNA, 265 nt
Organism: Triticum dicoccoides
Lineage: Eukaryota; Viridiplantae; Streptophyta; Magnoliopsida; Poales; Poaceae
Exons: 3
Source: RefSeq, a predicted model, not a curated record
UGUUCUUCAAGUUUUCUACCGUCCAGGAAUAGUCGAGCUGGAAAACGGGGCUUCGUUCUCUUUGAUUCAAUCUGAGACAGGUGCAGAUGCGGACCAACUCAGGACUGUUAUCGGAGCUCACGUCGCUAUGGGCAACCUUUUCACCACCAUUGAUGAUGACCAUUUCAAGUGCUCGUUCAACGGAUAAAAGUUGGUUGAGAUGUGGCGCACAGUACGUCUACUUCUUCAACGGGAAUGAUUUCGGUUAAAGAUCUCCGAGAAAUGA